UACGGAGGGUGCGAGCGUUGUCCGGAAUCACUGGGCGUAAAGGGCGCGUAGGUGGCCUGUGGAAGUCUGCGGUGAAAGCCCGGCGCUCAACGCCGGGUCUGCCGUGGAUACUCUCGGGCUCGAGCUUACUAGAGGCAGAUGGAAUUCCGGGUGUAGCGGUGGAAUGCGUAGAGAUCCGGAAGAACACCGGUGGCGAAGGCGGUCUGCUGGGGUAAUGCUGACACUGAUGCGCGACAGCGUGGGGAGCAAACAGG
Molecule: ribosomal RNA, 254 nt
Filed under: uncultured bacterium
Lineage: Bacteria
Description: partial 16S ribosomal RNA
Rfam family: Bacterial small subunit ribosomal RNA
Source: RNAcentral